Molecule: ribosomal RNA, 406 nt
Filed under: uncultured bacterium
Lineage: Bacteria
Description: partial 16S ribosomal RNA
Rfam family: Bacterial small subunit ribosomal RNA
Source: RNAcentral
AUUGAACGCUGGCGGCAGGCCUAACACAUGCAAGUCGAGCGAGCGGCGGACGGGUGAGUAAUGUCUGGGGAACUGCCUGAUGGAGGGGGAUAACUACUGGAAACGGUAGCUAAUACCGCAUACCAUCGGAUGUGCCCCGAUGGGAUUAGCUAGUAGGUGGGGUAACGGCUCACCUAGGCGACGAUCCCUAGCUGGUCUGAGAGGAUGACCAGCCACACUGGAACUGAGACAUGGUCAAGACUCCUACGGGAGGCAGCAGUGGGGAAUAUUGCACAAUGGGCGCAAGCCUGAUGCAGCCAUGCCGCGUGUAUGAAGAAGGCCUUCGGGUUGUAAAGUACUUUCAGCGGGGAGGCGUUACCCGCAGAAGAAGCACCGGCUAACUCCGUGCCAGCAGCCGCGGUAAUAC